Molecule: ribosomal RNA, 497 nt
Filed under: uncultured bacterium
Lineage: Bacteria
Description: bacterial SSU rRNA
Rfam family: Bacterial small subunit ribosomal RNA
Source: RNAcentral
AUGAACGCUAGCGACAGGCCUAACACAUGCAAGUCGAGGGGCAGCACAAGGAGCAAUCUGAGGUGGCGACCGGCGCACGGGUGAGUAACACGUAUGCAACCUGCCUGUAAGCGGGGAAUAACCCGUUGAAAGACGGACUAAUACCGCAUAAUACUAAAUUACUGCAUGGUAAUUUAUUUAAACAUUUAUGGCUUACAGAUGGGCAUGCGCAUGAUUAGCUAGUUGGAGAGGUAACGGCUCCCCAAGGCAACGAUCAUUAGGGGUUCUGAGAGGAAGGUCCCCCCACACUGGUACUGAGACACGGACCAGACUCCUACGGGAGGCAGCAGUGGGGAAUAUUGGUCAAUGGACGAGAGUCUGAACCAGCCAAGUCGCGUGCAGGAAGAAUGUUCCCUAUGGAUUGUAAACUGCUUUUGCAGGGGAAUAAAGUGCAUCACGUGUGAUGUUUUGUAUGUACUCUGCGAAUAAGGAUCGGCUAACUCCGUGCCAGCAGCCGC